Molecule: ribosomal RNA, 694 nt
Filed under: uncultured Marmoricola sp.
Lineage: Bacteria; Bacillati; Actinomycetota; Actinomycetes; Propionibacteriales; Nocardioidaceae
Description: bacterial SSU rRNA
Rfam family: Bacterial small subunit ribosomal RNA
Source: RNAcentral
UUUGUGGGGUACGGCCCNCNANGNCUUCNACGGGUAGUCUCGGCCCUGNAAAGGGUGACCGGCCACACUGGGNACUGAGAACACGGCCCAGACUCCUACGGGAGGCAGCAGUGGGGAAUAUUGGACAAUGGGCGAAAGCCUGAUCCAGCAACGCCGCGUGAGGGAUGACGGCCUUCGGGUUGUAAACCUCUUUCAGCGCAGACGAAGGAAAGUGACGGUAUGCGCAGAAGAAGCACCGGCCAACUACGUGCCAGCAGCCGCGGUAAUACGUAGGGUGCGAGCGUUGUCCGGAAUUAUUGGGCGUAAAGGGCUCGUAGGCGGUUUGUUGCGUCAGGAGCGAAAACUCGGGGCUUAACCCCGAGCCUGCUUCUGAUACGGGCAGACUAGAGGUAUGCAGGGGAGAACGGAAUUCCUGGUGUAGCGGUGAAAUGCGCAUAUAUCAGGAGGAACACCGGUGGCGAAGGCGGUUCUCUGGGCAUUACCUGACGCUGAGGAGCGAAAGUGUGGGGAGCGAACAGGAUUAGAUACCCUGGUAGUCCACACCAUAAACGUUGGGCGCUAGGUGUGGGACUCAUUCCACGAGUUCCGUGCCGCAGCUAACGCAUUAAGCGCCCCGCCUGNNGAGUACGGCCGCAAGGCUAAAACUCAAANGAAUUGACGGGUGGCCCGCACAAGCGGCGGAGCAUGCNGAUUA